UGGCUCAGAACGAACGCUGGCGGCGUGCUUAACACAUGCAAGUCGAGCGGAAAGGCCUCUUCGGGGGUGCUCGAGCGGCGAACGGGUGAGUAACACGUGAGUAACCUGCCCUGGGCUUGGGGAUAACCCUCGGAAACGGGGGCUAAUACCCGAUAUUCACGCAUGUCUGCAUGGGGGUGUGUGGAAAGAUUUAUCGGCUAGAGAUGGCCUCGCGGCCUAUCAGCUUGUUGGUGGGGUAACGGCCUACCAAGGCGACGACGGGUAGCCGGCCUGAGAGGGCGACCGGCCACACUGGGACUGAGACACGGCCCAGAGUACUACGGGAGGCAGCAUGUGG
This 337-nucleotide ribosomal RNA is filed under the name uncultured Micromonosporaceae bacterium. Its description in RNAcentral is "bacterial SSU rRNA". It matches the Rfam family "Bacterial small subunit ribosomal RNA", at positions 20 to 357 of the family's 1533-position model. Lineage: Bacteria; Bacillati; Actinomycetota; Actinomycetes; Micromonosporales; Micromonosporaceae. The record is from RNAcentral.